GAUGAACGCUGGCGGUAUGCUUAACACAUGCAAGUCGAACGGUCUUUUCGGAGAUAGUGGCGGACGGGUGAGUAACGCGUGAGAAUCUGGCUCUAGGUUUGGGACAACCACUGGAAACGGUGGCUAAUACCGGAUAUGCCGAAAGGUGAAAGGUUAACUGCCUGGAGAUGAGCUCGCGUCUGAUUAGCUAGUUGGUAGGGUAAAAGCUUACCAAGGCGACGAUCAGUAGCUGGUCUGAGAGGACGAUCAGCCACACUGGGACUGAGACAC
This 270-nucleotide ribosomal RNA is filed under the name Rhizonema sp. 'cyanobiont of Cora hawksworthiana'. RNAcentral describes it as "partial 16S ribosomal RNA". It matches the Rfam family "Bacterial small subunit ribosomal RNA", at positions 28 to 327 of the family's 1533-position model. RNAcentral also lists the same sequence under 4 other names. Lineage: Bacteria; Bacillati; Cyanobacteriota; Cyanophyceae; Nostocales; Rhizonemataceae. The record is from RNAcentral.